RNAcentral lists this long non-coding RNA (418 nucleotides) under Homo sapiens (human). Its description in RNAcentral is "HSALNT0147138". The record is from RNAcentral. Lineage: Eukaryota; Metazoa; Chordata; Mammalia; Primates; Hominidae.
CACGCCCGAGCCCGCCUGCCGGCCGCCGCCGCGGAGCCACCGCAAUCAGCGCAGGAGGCGGCCACCUCUUCGAGGGAGGGGUCUCGCCUGAGACUCCCCUUGGUCCCCGCCAUGGGGACCAUGGCACGACUGGAGGCGCCCCAGUGCCCCGGGUUCCUGGCCCGCCUCCUCGGUGGCACCUGGUGCCUGCUCUGUAUCGCCGGACAGGUAUGCGGAGACCAAAGCCAAGGGGCUGUUUUCCUGCGGGAAUUUACACUGAUUCGAAGAGAGAGCCUCCAUGAAGAUUUCCUGUCUGACCUCUUGAAUAGUCACAAAACUGAAGACUCGGCAACAAUUUUUCUACUUAAAGAAGGACUAUCAGCCAUGAAUAGAUCUAAGCUGAAGUGGAAAAAAAAGUGAUCUGAAUAUGUAAAGUCAC